Molecule: long non-coding RNA, 276 nt
Filed under: Lathyrus oleraceus (garden pea)
Lineage: Eukaryota; Viridiplantae; Streptophyta; Magnoliopsida; Fabales; Fabaceae
Description: Pisum sativum (pea) long non-coding RNA (PSAT_LNC035871)
Source: RNAcentral
UCGUUUCCGAUGGGUUGCGAGUGGUCUCAUCAUUGUUUAUUUGUUGUUGUUGAAGGCGAGCGUUAGAGGGUUUCGUCAGAAUAUGUACACAAGAAGAAGAAAGCUUUUCCUCAACUUUUGUUUAUAUUACGAUUGGUAGUUUUUACUUCUUUCUAUUAUUUUCAAAUUCCAUCAAUAUGGAUGAAGUAUGAGAGGGUUUCAUGUGUAUGUGAGUUUGGAAGGUGAGAGAUUGUUUUUCUUGUUGUGUAAUGUGAGUUGUGUUAAAAUGUGUUGUUU